Molecule: long non-coding RNA, 351 nt
Filed under: Elaeis guineensis (African oil palm)
Lineage: Eukaryota; Viridiplantae; Streptophyta; Magnoliopsida; Arecales; Arecaceae
Description: long non-coding RNA (EGUI_LNC075682)
Source: RNAcentral
UUUAUAUACUAGUUAUAUUUUGCAUAUCAGGAAUUGAAAGCUGUGGACUUUUAGCCAACCUUCCACUAUGUCACAUUGGAAGCCUGCAGAUUAACUAAUGCAAAUAAAUGACUGCUAGCUAUCCUGCCAUAUACAAUACAAAAUCCUCUGGGCUUUAGCACCAAGGCCGAGAAUGGUAAGCCCACCUAACUUGAAAAAGAGAAGCAUGUAAAUAUGACAAAAUUGAUCACAUUUCACGCGACUAGAGGAAGUAAUUAAUUGAGAUGUCAGGCUGCCGGUAGUGUACACAUCGGGGCCACUUAUCAAUAUUCUUUGGACCGGACAAAUGGCUUUAUAUAUACAUCUCAUAUU